RNAcentral lists this unclassified non-coding RNA (352 nucleotides) under soil metagenome. RNAcentral describes it as "partial contains 5.8S ribosomal RNA, internal transcribed spacer 2, and large subunit ribosomal RNA". The stretch from base 1 to 120 matches the Rfam family "5.8S ribosomal RNA", at positions 35 to 154 of the family's 154-position model. The record is from RNAcentral.
GAUGAAGAACGCAGCGAAAUGCGAUAAGUAAUGUGAAUUGCAGAAUUCGGUGAAUCAUCGAAUCUUUGAACGCACAUUGCGCCCGCCAGUAUUCUGGCGGGCAUGCCUGUUCGAGCGUCAUUACAACCCUCAGGCCCCCGGGCCUGGCGUUGGGGAUCGGCGGAAGCCCCCUGUGGGCACACGCCGUCCCUCAAAUACAGUGGCGGUCCCGCCGCAGCUUCCAUUGCGUAGUAGCUAACACCUCGCAACUGGAGAGCGGCGCGGCCAUGCCGUAAAACACCCAACUUCUGAAUGUUGACCUCGAAUCAGGUAGGAAUACCCGCUGAACUUAAGCAUAUCAAUAAGCGGAGGA